UAGAGUACGUUCGUAUGUGCACGGUUGUCCCUGGCUGAGUCCUUCUAGGCAUGCAAGAACGUAUUUGCUAAACUAACCCUGAAGCUUGAUUUGUAAACAGUUUUUGGAUUGCUUUCUUAUCGCUUGGUUGUUAUCUGCGUUGGUCUAGCUGUCAUUGUUCCAGUUUUCUUGAUUCCUUUUACGAAGUCGACGGCAGUUCUGCAUCUUUCUAAGUUAUCCGCUGCUUCUUGCGCUAGUCAGAAGAGUUGAGCUAUCGUUAGCAAUUCAACUGUUUGUUGCGUUUUUGCAACAAAGAAGAGUGACCGUGUCUAGCUAGAAAUGGCUGCAGCUAGUAAUUCCGAAGACACGGUGGUUAGCGAUUCUAAGGAAGUGAGUGAAAGCAUACAUGCUUGUAGACCGCAGAUUAUAUACACAUUAGAAAUGGAAAUACGGUAGAAUAUUCAUAUACGAGU
Molecule: long non-coding RNA, 452 nt
Organism: Corticium candelabrum
Lineage: Eukaryota; Metazoa; Porifera; Homoscleromorpha; Homosclerophorida; Plakinidae
Exons: 3
Source: RefSeq, a predicted model, not a curated record